UACAGAGGUCUCAAGCGUUGUUCGGAUUCAUUGGGCGUAAAGGGCGCGUAGGCGGCUUGGUCAGUCCCGUGUGAAAUCCCUCGGCUCAACUGAGGAACUGCACGGGAAACUGCCUGGCUUGAGUUCGGGAGAGGGAAGCGGAAUUCCGGGUGUAGCGGUGAAAUGCGUAGAUAUCCGGAGGAACACCUAUAGCGAAGGCAGCUUGCUGGGACGUUACUGACGCUAAGGCGCGAAAGCGUGGGGAGCGAACAGG
RNAcentral lists this ribosomal RNA (253 nucleotides) under uncultured bacterium. RNAcentral's name for it is "partial 16S ribosomal RNA". It matches the Rfam family "Bacterial small subunit ribosomal RNA", at positions 524 to 776 of the family's 1533-position model. The record is from RNAcentral.